This 524-nucleotide long non-coding RNA is filed under the name Mytilus galloprovincialis (Mediterranean mussel). The record is from RNAcentral. Lineage: Eukaryota; Metazoa; Mollusca; Bivalvia; Mytilida; Mytilidae.
GUCAUUUAAUCGCGCUUUUGUUGCAUGUUUUCCCCCACUUUUUCAUGUGCAUGUCUUGUUGUACUAGUAUGUGUUCAUUUUAAAAAUUAUACCCUCUACCGUAAAAAAAGAUAUAUAUGGUGAACUUUGUAUUUAAAGCACGUUUUAUUUUCUCCUACCUAUAGGAUAAUACUCUCAUAUAAAUACGUUUUAUAUCAACACCAUUAAUCAUUUGAUACAAAAAUGUUGUUAUACAAAUACGGAUAUUUCUUAGAAUUGACGACCAUCCUUUAAAAGUUACGGUCAUCAUUUAGAAAUUACGGUCAUCCUUUGCAAAUUAAGGUCAUCUUUUAAACAAUUACGGUCACCCUUGUUAUGAAUUGCUGAUUCUGUUACGGUCAUCUCGAUUGUGAUUUACGGUCAUCUUAGCGAUUUUUUUAAAUCGAAUUUCCUGUUUCAUGCACAUUUCUCGGAAGUAAUUUGUGAUUUCCGUGUGAAUCUUUUAUAAAUUUACAUCGUAUCGAUGUCUCCUUUGUAAGGAAAAU